This 91-nucleotide small nucleolar RNA is filed under the name Genlisea aurea. RNAcentral's name for it is "Small nucleolar RNA R11/Z151". It matches the Rfam family "Small nucleolar RNA R11/Z151". From Rfam's summary of the family: snoR11/Z151 is a member of the C/D class of snoRNA which contain the C (UGAUGA) and D (CUGA) box motifs. Most of the members of the box C/D family function in directing site-specific 2'-O-methylation of substrate RNAs. Lineage: Eukaryota; Viridiplantae; Streptophyta; Magnoliopsida; Lamiales; Lentibulariaceae. The record is from Rfam by way of RNAcentral.
UGGCUUGUGAUGAUACAUAAAUAAUCUUAGCGGAUUUCAUUGAGAUCAGAUCUUCUGAUCAUUGAUCUUAUUGUUACACACACUGAAGCCA